GCGAACGCUGGCGGCAGGCUUAACACAUGCCAGUCGAGCGGGCACUUUCGGGUGUCAGCGGCGGACGGGUGAGUAACGCGUGGGAACGUGCCCUCUGGUUCGGAAUAACUCAGGGAAACUUGAGCUAAUACCGGAUACGCCCUUUUGGGGAAAGGCUUGCUGCCGGAGGAUCGGCCCGCGUCUGAUUAGCUAGUUGGUGAGGUAACGGCUCACCAAGGCGACGAUCAGUAGCUGGUCUGAGAGGAUGAUCAGCCACACUGGGACUGAGACACGGCCCAGACUCCUACGGGAGGCAGCAGUGGGGAAUAUUGGACAAUGGGCGCAAGCCUGAUCCAGCCAUGCCGCGUGAGUGAUGAAGGCCUUAGGGUUGUAAAGCUCUUUUAUCCGGGACGAUAAUGACGGUACCGGAGGAAUAAGCCCCGGCUAACUUCGUG
RNAcentral lists this ribosomal RNA (434 nucleotides) under uncultured bacterium. RNAcentral's name for it is "partial 16S ribosomal RNA". It matches the Rfam family "Bacterial small subunit ribosomal RNA", at positions 29 to 507 of the family's 1533-position model. The record is from RNAcentral.